AAGGCUACUUGAAGAAGAUGAGCACCAAGAAGUCAAGAUUCGGUGAAACUAGGCAAAAUUGGUCCCUCUUAAAAGUCUUUGCUCCAUUCUCGUUACACGAAAAUAAGCAAAGAGGGACAGCUGUAAUGGCCCAAUUUUGCCUGGGCCCAAGACAAAAUACAAAAAAUAAAUAAAACCAAAAAAUAAAUAAAUAAAGUCCAAAUAUCAAAAAGUCCAUUUACAACAGUUACAAGCCUAAAUUACAUUAAAUCCAGCACACCCAAAUACAAGACCAAAUAAAAAAACCCUAAAGGCCAAAUGACCCACAACCUAAACUCAAUUUCAAUAAAAAUUGAAACCGUAAUCUAACCCUAGCCACAUGCCACGUCGGCGCCACUCUCUGCACGCC
Molecule: long non-coding RNA, 388 nt
Filed under: Gossypium raimondii (Peruvian cotton)
Lineage: Eukaryota; Viridiplantae; Streptophyta; Magnoliopsida; Malvales; Malvaceae
Description: long non-coding RNA (GRAI_LNC003638)
Source: RNAcentral